ACACCAAUGUUGACCGAUGUUGGCCUCCUGAGCCCGCUGCAGCUGGCGUUCUCGCAGGUGGAAGAAGAUGCUGCGGAAGAGGCGCCAGUCGUCGUUACGGUCCAGGUCGUGUAUCGGCAGAUGCAGAAGCGAACGCGCGUCUGGACCUGGUUCACUUGCG
Molecule: long non-coding RNA, 160 nt
Organism: Rhipicephalus sanguineus (brown dog tick)
Lineage: Eukaryota; Metazoa; Arthropoda; Arachnida; Ixodida; Ixodidae
Exons: 3
Source: RefSeq, a predicted model, not a curated record